This 563-nucleotide ribosomal RNA is filed under the name Cyprinella lutrensis (red shiner). Its description in RNAcentral is "partial 16S ribosomal RNA". It matches the Rfam family "Bacterial large subunit ribosomal RNA", at positions 1805 to 2579 of the family's 2925-position model. The record is from RNAcentral. Lineage: Eukaryota; Metazoa; Chordata; Actinopteri; Cypriniformes; Leuciscidae.
UACCAAAAACAUCGCCUCCUGCAACAUAGAGUAUAGGAGGUCCAGCCUGCCCAGUGACUACGGGUUCAACGGCCGCGGUAUAUUGACCGUGCAAAGGUAGCGCAAUCACUUGUCUUUUAAAUAAAGACCUGUAUGAAUGGCUAGACGAGGGCUUAACUGUCUCCCCCCUCCAGUCAGUGAAAUUGAUCUAUCCGUGCAGAAGCGGGUAUAAUUCUACAAGACGAGAAGACCCUUUGGAGCUUAAGGUACAAAGUUCAAUCACGUCAAACAACUUGAUGAAAAGCCAGAACUUAGUGACUAUGAAACUUUCUUCGGUUGGGGCGACCACGGAGGAAAAGCAAGCCUCCGAGUGGACUGGGCCAAAACCCUAAAACCAAGAGGAACAUCUUUAAGCCGCAGAACAUCUGACCAAUAAUGAUCGCCAAGAGGCCGAUCAACGAACCAAGUUACCCUAGGGAUAACAGCGCAAUCCUCUCCCAGAGCCCAUAUCGACGAGGGGGUUUACGACCUCGAUGUUGGAUCAGGACAUCCUGGUGGUGCAGCCGCUAUUAAGGGUUCGUUUG